GACAGAGGGUGCAAACGUUGUUCGGAAUUACUGGGCGUAAAGGGCGCGUAGGCGGCCUGUUAAGUCGGACGUGAAAUCCCUCGGCUCAACCGGGGAACUGCGUCCGAUACUGGCGGGCUUGAAUUCGGGAGAGGGAUGUGGAAUUCCAGGUGUAGCGGUGAAAUGCGUAGAUAUCUGGAGGAACACCGGUGGCGAAGGCGGCAUCCUGGACCGACAUUGACGCUGAGGCGCGAAAGCCAGGGGAGCAAACGGG
Molecule: ribosomal RNA, 253 nt
Filed under: uncultured bacterium
Lineage: Bacteria
Description: partial 16S ribosomal RNA
Rfam family: Bacterial small subunit ribosomal RNA
Source: RNAcentral